This 64-nucleotide transfer RNA is filed under the name Trichodes leucopsideus. RNAcentral's name for it is "tRNA-Leu". It matches the Rfam family "tRNA". From Rfam's summary of the family: Transfer RNA (tRNA) molecules are approximately 80 nucleotides in length. Their secondary structure includes four short double-helical elements and three loops (D, anti-codon, and T loops). RNAcentral also lists the same sequence under 1 other name. The record is from RNAcentral. Lineage: Eukaryota; Metazoa; Arthropoda; Insecta; Coleoptera; Cleridae.
UCUAAUAUGGCAGAUUAGUGCAAUGGAUUUAAACCCCAUAUAUAAAGUUUUUCUUUUUUUAGAA